This 306-nucleotide ribosomal RNA is filed under the name uncultured bacterium. Its description in RNAcentral is "partial 16S ribosomal RNA". It matches the Rfam family "Bacterial small subunit ribosomal RNA", at positions 507 to 808 of the family's 1533-position model. The record is from RNAcentral.
GACAGCAGUAGCCGCGGGAAUACGUAGGGUGCAAGCGUUAAUCGGAAUUACUGGGCGUAAAGCGUGCGCAGGCGGUUAUAUAAGACAGAUGUGAAAUCCCCGGGCUCAACCUGGGAACUGCAUUUGUGACUGUAUAGCUAGAGUACGGCAGAGGGGGAUGGAAUUCCGCGUGUAGCAGUGAAAUGCGUAGAUAUGCGGAGGAACACCGAUGGCGAAGGCAAUCCCCUGGGCCUGUACUGACGCUCAUGCACGAAAGCGUGGGGAGCAAACAGGAUUAGAUACCCCCGGUAGUCCCUGUCUCUUAUA